GAAGCUGGAUUCGCUAGUAAUCGCGCAUCAGCCACGGCGCGGUGAAUACGUUCCCGGGCCUUGUACACACCGCCCGUCAAGCCAUGGGAGCCGGGAGUGCCUGAAGUACGUGACCGCAAGGAGCGUCCUAGGGUAAGACCGGUGACUGGGGCUAAGUCGUAACAAGGUAGC
RNAcentral lists this ribosomal RNA (171 nucleotides) under uncultured bacterium. RNAcentral's name for it is "partial 16S ribosomal RNA". It matches the Rfam family "Bacterial small subunit ribosomal RNA", at positions 1322 to 1500 of the family's 1533-position model. The record is from RNAcentral.